AGUGAACGCUGGCGGUAGGCCUAACACAUGCAAGUCGAACGGCAGCACAGUAAGAGCUUGCUCUUACGGGUGGCGAGUGGCGGACGGGUGAGGAAUACAUCGGAAUCUACUUUUUCGUGGGGGAUAACGUAGGGAAACUUACGCUAAUACCGCAUACGACCUACGGGUGAAAGCAGGGGAUCUUCGGACCUUGCGCGAUUGAAUGAGCCGAUGUCGGAUUAGCUAGUUGGCGGGGUAAAGGCCCACCAAGGCGACGAUCCGUAGCUGGUCUGAGAGGAUGGUCAGCCACACUGGAACGGAGACACGGUCCAGACUCCUACGGGAGGCAGCAGUGGGGAAGAUUGGACAAUGGGCGGAAGCCUGAUCCAGCCAUGCCGCGUGGGUGAAGAAGGCCUUCGGGUUGUAAAGCCCUUUUGUUGGGAAAGAAAAGCAGCAGGGUAAUACCCCGCUGUUCUGACGGUACCCAAAGAAUAAGCACCGGCUAACUUCGUG
This 492-nucleotide ribosomal RNA is filed under the name uncultured bacterium. RNAcentral's name for it is "partial 16S ribosomal RNA". It matches the Rfam family "Bacterial small subunit ribosomal RNA", at positions 29 to 507 of the family's 1533-position model. The record is from RNAcentral.